GAGGAAUAUUGGUCAAUGGACGCGAGUCUGAACCAGCCAAGUAGCGUGAAGGAUGACUGCCCUAUGGGUUGUAAACUUCUUUUAUAUGGGAAUAAAGUGGUCCACGUGUGGACUUUUGUAUGUACCACAUGAAUAAGGAUCGGCUAACUCCGUGCCAGCAGCCGCGGUAAUACGGAGGAUCCGAGCGUUAUCCGGAUUUAUUGGGUUUAAAGGGAGCGUAGGCGGAUUGUUAAGUCAGUUGUGAAAGUUUGCGGCUCAACCGUAAAAUUGCAGUUGAUACUGGCAGUCUUGAGUGCAGCAGAGGUGGGCGGAAUUCGUGGUGUAGCGGUGAAAUGCUUAGAUAUCACGAAGAACUCCGAUUGCGAAGGCAGCUCACUGGAGUGUAACUGACGCUGAUGCUCGAAAGUGUGGGUAUCAAAC
Molecule: ribosomal RNA, 420 nt
Filed under: uncultured bacterium
Lineage: Bacteria
Description: bacterial SSU rRNA
Rfam family: Bacterial small subunit ribosomal RNA
Source: RNAcentral